This is a long non-coding RNA of Suncus etruscus (white-toothed pygmy shrew), 296 nucleotides long. RefSeq lists it as uncharacterized. NCBI's taxonomy places the organism in Eukaryota, Metazoa, Chordata, Mammalia, Eulipotyphla, Soricidae. The transcript is spliced from 2 exons. The record is from RefSeq and is a predicted model, not a curated record.
CGAUGAGAACCUGGAACCGUGCCUAAAAUUAAAAACAACAACAUACAAACCUGACUUACUCAAAUUAUGCAAGAAAAUGCAAGGCCAAUGUUCACAUUAGUGUUUGUGACUUUUUCAGUCAUUGUCAGGAUGUAAUUUUCUCUACAUUGUAAGGCAAAUUUUAUGGAAUUUAACAUUAUCAAUAAAUAAUAUCGUUCUAAAUUUUUGUUUUAUUAGUUGUGUUAUUUGUAUCCUUCCAACCUAUGUGGAUACUUGCAUGCAGAAUAUUCUCAAUAAAAACUUAUUGAAACUAAAAA